This 602-nucleotide long non-coding RNA is filed under the name Pan troglodytes (chimpanzee). RNAcentral describes it as "long non-coding RNA NONPTRT009442". The record is from RNAcentral. Lineage: Eukaryota; Metazoa; Chordata; Mammalia; Primates; Hominidae.
CGACGCACAAACAGUUCUUUGCUCAAUUAAAUGCUGUUACAUUUAAUUUGUCUAAAGCUUUUCUUUUAACAGAUGUUUAUAAGAUAGAUGUUCAUAAGCAAGAGAAUGUAACUCUAUUUGCCUUUAAAUACUUGUUAUGAAGAAGUUAUAUUUGGAAAGUUCUAAGAAAGCUGCAAUCACUUGCUGUUGCCGGAAACUGCCUUGUGGCCUGGCGUCCUGGGAAUUUGCUUGGCUUUUUGUGGCCGCCAUCCAAAACUGGGAACCACAAGUCAAAGGCAUUCAAUGCUAUAAACUUCAAUAGGCCCUAAAUCUUAUGAUUGAUGUCCUCAUAAGGGGAAAGGGAGUUGAAGACACUCCCUGAAGACACACAUAAAUGGAGAUGGCCAUGUGAAGUUGGAGGCAGAGAUUGAAGUGAUGUGUCUAUAAGUCAUGAACGCCAAGGAUUGCCAGAAGCUACCAGAAGCUAAAAGACAGGCAUAGAGCAAAUUCUUUCUCACAUCCUCCAGAAUGAACCAAUCCUACUAACACCUGGAUUUCAGACUUCCAACCUCUAGAACCAUGAAAGAAUAAAUUUUUGUUGCUUUAAGCCACCCAGUUUUGUG